This 1365-nucleotide ribosomal RNA is filed under the name Staphylococcus aureus. Its description in RNAcentral is "bacterial SSU rRNA". It matches the Rfam family "Bacterial small subunit ribosomal RNA", at positions 183 to 1533 of the family's 1533-position model. The record is from RNAcentral. Lineage: Bacteria; Bacillati; Bacillota; Bacilli; Caryophanales; Staphylococcaceae.
GAACCGCAUGGUUCAAAAGUGAAAGACGGUCUUGCUGUCACUUAUAGAUGGAUCCGCGCUGCAUUAGCUAGUUGGUAAGGUAACGGCUUACCAAGGCAACGAUGCAUAGCCGACCUGAGAGGGUGAUCGGCCACACUGGAACUGAGACACGGUCCAGACUCCUACGGGAGGCAGCAGUAGGGAAUCUUCCGCAAUGGGCGAAAGCCUGACGGAGCAACGCCGCGUGAGUGAUGAAGGUCUUCGGAUCGUAAAACUCUGUUAUUAGGGAAGAACAUAUGUGUAAGUAACUGUGCACAUCUUGACGGUACCUAAUCAGAAAGCCACGGCUAACUACGUGCCAGCAGCCGCGGUAAUACGUAGGUGGCAAGCGUUAUCCGGAAUUAUUGGGCGUAAAGCGCGCGUAGGCGGUUUUUUAAGUCUGAUGUGAAAGCCCACGGCUCAACCGUGGAGGGUCAUUGGAAACUGGAAAACUUGAGUGCAGAAGAGGAAAGUGGAAUUCCAUGUGUAGCGGUGAAAUGCGCAGAGAUAUGGAGGAACACCAGUGGCGAAGGCGACUUUCUGGUCUGUAACUGACGCUGAUGUGCGAAAGCGUGGGGAUCAAACAGGAUUAGAUACCCUGGUAGUCCACGCCGUAAACGAUGAGUGCUAAGUGUUAGGGGGUUUCCGCCCCUUAGUGCUGCAGCUAACGCAUUAAGCACUCCGCCUGGGGAGUACGACCGCAAGGUUGAAACUCAAAGGAAUUGACGGGGACCCGCACAAGCGGUGGAGCAUGUGGUUUAAUUCGAAGCAACGCGAAGAACCUUACCAAAUCUUGACAUCCUUUGACAACUCUAGAGAUAGAGCCUUCCCCUUCGGGGGACAAAGUGACAGGUGGUGCAUGGUUGUCGUCAGCUCGUGUCGUGAGAUGUUGGGUUAAGUCCCGCAACGAGCGCAACCCUUAAGCUUAGUUGCCAUCAUUAAGUUGGGCACUCUAAGUUGACUGCCGGUGACAAACCGGAGGAAGGUGGGGAUGACGUCAAAUCAUCAUGCCCCUUAUGAUUUGGGCUACACACGUGCUACAAUGGACAAUACAAAGGGCAGCGAAACCGCGAGGUCAAGCAAAUCCCAUAAAGUUGUUCUCAGUUCGGAUUGUAGUCUGCAACUCGACUACAUGAAGCUGGAAUCGCUAGUAAUCGUAGAUCAGCAUGCUACGGUGAAUACGUUCCCGGGUCUUGUACACACCGCCCGUCACACCACGAGAGUUUGUAACACCCGAAGCCGGUGGAGUAACCUUUUAGGAGCUAGCCGUCGAAGGUGGGACAAAUGAUUGGGGUGAAGUCGUAACAAGGUAGCCGUAUCGGAAGGUGCGGCUGGAUCACCUCCUUU